AGGAUUUCGAAGAACAUACUAUGGAAAAAAGGCAAUAGAUGUGCCUCUGGAAAUGUUACAUUGCUUCUCAGAAGUAUAUUUGCAAAUGUGGGCAUUGAAAACUUGUAAAUACUGAAUUAUUUGUCUUGUCUGAAAUCACAAAAGAAAUUAAUCAAACCACUUCAGUUUUCAUUUUAGGUGCCACCCUCUGUAUCAAAGCAAUUCAGAUUGAAGUCUGAGAAGAUUGACUUGAAAGGCUUUGAGAUGCCUCAAAAAUAGCGUUCAUAGGUGAUUUCUGAAGGUGAAGUACUCCGAUGUAAAAGCCCAUACAGCCUUAAGAAUUCAUCUGGGGAUACAGUUGACUGAGAAUGCUGUGAUUUAAUCUAGAGACCUAUGUUAAGGUCGAGAGCAUUAGUAGGUAAGUAUAAUCAUUCUUCUACCUCAGCUGUUUAACUGGAUGACCCUGUUUUAUCUGUGUGGUGUAACCAGUGGUCACUGCAACCAAUUAUGGUGAUAUUGUUUAUUUCAUUAUUUCAAAAUAACAUCUAACCAAGGCAGCAAUUUUGUAAUUCCUUCUGGCAUAUUUGUCUUGCUUCCAU
This is a long non-coding RNA of Tympanuchus pallidicinctus (lesser prairie-chicken), 578 nucleotides long. RefSeq lists it as uncharacterized. Lineage: Eukaryota; Metazoa; Chordata; Aves; Galliformes; Phasianidae. The transcript has 4 exons. The record is from RefSeq and is a predicted model, not a curated record.